GUGUGAUAUGUUCUUUCUUAUUUUAUCAUGAUCUUGUUGUGUUUUAGUUGGUUCAACUAGUUUCAAUUACACUAUCUUACUACGUCUUGACUAUUUUAUAUUCACUCUGUCUUUAUGUUCUAUUAUGAUAUCAAUGUUCUAAAUUGGUUUUAAAAGAAAAGUAAAGGUUUUCAUAAAAUCUCAAAUAAACGUGCUCCACGAUAAGUUAAAAGGUAAGUCUUGUGUUUCUAUUGUAAAAUUUGAAACUCAAAUUUUGUUGUAAGAAAUUUUAUUUUUUUGUUAC
This 283-nucleotide long non-coding RNA is filed under the name Carica papaya (papaya). RNAcentral describes it as "long non-coding RNA (CPAP_LNC009680)". Lineage: Eukaryota; Viridiplantae; Streptophyta; Magnoliopsida; Brassicales; Caricaceae. The record is from RNAcentral.